This 878-nucleotide ribosomal RNA is filed under the name Pseudomonas azotoformans. RNAcentral describes it as "bacterial SSU rRNA". It matches the Rfam family "Bacterial small subunit ribosomal RNA", at positions 32 to 904 of the family's 1533-position model. Lineage: Bacteria; Pseudomonadati; Pseudomonadota; Gammaproteobacteria; Pseudomonadales; Pseudomonadaceae. The record is from RNAcentral.
GAAGCUGGCGGCAGGCCUAACACAUGCAAGUCGAGCGGUAGAGAGAAGCUUGCUUCUCUUGAGAGCGGCGGACGGGUGAGUAAUGCCUAGGAAUCUGCCUGGUAGUGGGGGAUAACGUUCGGAAAACGGACGCUAAUACCGCAUACGUCCUACGGGAGAAAGCAGGGGACCUUCGGGCCUUGCGCUAUCAGAUGAGCCUAGGUCGGAUUAGCUAGUUGGUGAGGUAAUGGCUCACCAAGGCGACGAUCCGUAACUGGUCUGAGAGGAUGAUCAGUCACACUGGAACUGAGACACGGUCCAGACUCCUACGGGAGGCAGCAGUGGGGAAUAUUGGACAAUGGGCGAAAGCCUGAUCCAGCCAUGCCGCGUGUGUGAAGAAGGUCUUCGGAUUGUAAAGCACUUUAAGUUGGGAGGAAGGGUUGUAGAUUAAUACUCUGCAAUUUUGACGUUACCGACAGAAUAAGCACCGGCUAACUCUGUGCCAGCAGCCGCGGUAAUACAGAGGGUGCAAGCGUUAAUCGGAAUUACUGGGCGUAAAGCGCGCGUAGGUGGUUUGUUAAGUUGGAUGUGAAAUCCCCGGGCUCAACCUGGGAACUGCAUUCAAAACUGACUGACUAGAGUAUGGUAGAGGGUGGGUGGAAUUUCCUGUGUAGCGGUGAAAUGCGUAGAUAUAGGAAGGAACACCAGUGGCGAAGGCGACCACCUGGACUAAUACUGACACUGAGGUGCGAAAGCGUGGGGAGCAAACAGGAUUAGAUACCCUGGUAGUCCACGCCGUAAACGAUGUCAACUAGCCCUUGGAAGCCUUGAGCUUUUAGUGGCGCAGCUAACGCAUUAAGUUGACCGCCUGGGGAGUACGGCCGCAAGGUUAAACUCAG